GCCGAGUGUGGUGGUGCACACCUGUAAUCCCAGCUACUUGGGAGGCUGAGGCAGGAGAAUCACUUGAACCUGGGAGCCAGAGUUUGCAGUGAGCCAAAAUGGUGCCACUGCACUCCAGCCUGGGUGACAGAGUGAGACUCUGUCUCAA
This 148-nucleotide non-coding RNA is filed under the name Nomascus leucogenys (northern white-cheeked gibbon). Lineage: Eukaryota; Metazoa; Chordata; Mammalia; Primates; Hylobatidae. The record is from Rfam by way of RNAcentral.